UACAAUCAGCGGCAAACCUGUUGAAAAUUUUAACGCCUCAAAUGCCGUUCACGCCGCCGUCGAGCGCGACAUUUAGUUAAAAACGCCUGCGAUCACAGUGUCCUGCGGAGUUGCCCAUUGCAUAGCAACGAUCAGUUAGCAACGCUCGCGUCGUCUUUGUCUUACAGCUAAGCCGAUCGCGUCCUUUGUUUUUAAACCAAUGAAAUCCCGUGUUCUUUGAGGUUUAGAGUGCUUAUUUUAUCAGAGUCCAAGCAGACAAGAUGGCGGAACCGACACAGAGCGAAGGAUGGCUUCAAUUCCUUUACAAAUUCGCGCUACGCGAGUUUGAUUUUUGGGAGCCUAACUCGUGCAAAAGUUAAAGAUAUCGUUGUACUGCUUGUACUCUAGUUCGAUUUUUGGAAGUUUUCCCGUGGUAGAGGGUGCCUAAUUCUACGAGUUGGAUGGCUGUAUGAACGCCUGGCACGCCGACGCGACGCAGGGUGGAUCGAGCUGAAUUCACGGUUCAACUGGUUGAGUUCAUGAUGAAUUGAUUCACCACCCUGCUCGCCGAAAAAGCCUGAAGGAAACUUCCGUUCCCGGAUGAAAUCUGAAGUCUGUGCCUGAGGUAUUUUCAUGACCACGGUUGGCUGAAAGAGAAUAAUAAUGUAAUUUAUAAUAUUGCAAAAAAGAAUAAAAAAUAUAGUUAGAACAAAA
Nematostella vectensis (starlet sea anemone) is the source of this 693-nucleotide long non-coding RNA. RefSeq lists it as uncharacterized. The record is from RefSeq and is a predicted model, not a curated record. Lineage: Eukaryota; Metazoa; Cnidaria; Anthozoa; Actiniaria; Edwardsiidae. The transcript is spliced from 2 exons.